Long non-coding RNA from Chinchilla lanigera (long-tailed chinchilla), 2545 nucleotides. RefSeq lists it as uncharacterized. NCBI's taxonomy places the organism in Eukaryota, Metazoa, Chordata, Mammalia, Rodentia, Chinchillidae. The transcript has 11 exons. The record is from RefSeq and is a predicted model, not a curated record.
CAUGAGAUUAUUGAAAUAAAUGCUGAUUGGGAGGUUUCCCAGGUGGACAGCUAAAAUACGCAUGGCACGCGCUGACUCUCACAUCCCACCUUCCACAUACUUCUGGCUCUGAUCAGGGCAGAUACAUUUUCCUACCUGACAGUGGGCUGUACGUCAAGAAGUGUGUUUUAACAGUCACCAGCUUUCUGCUCCUGUUUGCUGCUGUCUCAGGCAAUCCUUCACCUGCUGGGACACCAGACCCGCAGCCAUUUGGCACAGAGAGAGGUGGCACUUAGCAGCAAGGUCAAUUUCUGUUGACCAGCUUCUGUAACCCACAACUCGAAGAGUUUGAAUGAUAAGGCGCAUUCUUCAUCCUCCGUGCACCAUGCAUCAUUGCACAUGAAUAACAGUUGAGGAGAGCGCAUUCCCUGAAUCCGGCCGGAAGUGGUUUCCUAGCCUGAGUUGGCCCAGACUGAUUGCUAUUCCAGCUCAGACUGGCUUGAGGGCCAGGAUUCAAGUGAGUCAACUGGUUUUCAUGGCUCUGGCUACAGGCACCUAGUUCGGGGGAUCUGUUCACCCUGGGCAGAGUUGAAUGAGAAGCCUGACACGGUACCUCCUCACCGUCCCUGCUGGAGAGGAGACAGCAGCGUCUCGCUGAGCAGGACUGAAGGAACGUGCUCUAAUGCCUGCAGAGGACUUGUACGCUCCAAGUGCUUGCUAGGGGAGAGGAAAACCGCCUGAUCUCACUGGGCUCUGUCCCUCCUUACUGUGGCUUGAAGAAGCAGCCCUCGCCUCCAGCCCCAGGGCAGGUCCUGUGUCCUGGUUGGUCUGUGCCAGUACAUGGCGUUCUCUUGGCAAGGAAGGUGACCCUGUGUGAUGGACCUUCGAGCGGGUGGAAUCCUUCACGUCAUACUCCUCACUGCCCUGGCGAAGUUCUUCUAACCCUCCGGGGCCAUUUGCUACUACCUCCUCCCCUGAGGCUUCUCGGUCCUUGCUGAAAGCUGCAGUCUGCCGGCCUCGCUCAGCUAACUACCCACUACCGCGCGAUGGUCUCUUCAGGUGCGGCCUGCAUAUCGUUCCAGCCACAAGGCCGCGUCCUCGUUCCUUCCCAUCACCAGGACGCAGCACCGACACCCACAGUUUAGAGGAGCAGAGGUGUGUUUGGGUUCACGUCUUCACUCCACGGUUGGCUGGUGCGAGGCAGGAAGAGCGAAGCGGAAGGGUCUGGCAGAGAGCAGCUGUUCCUGUCAUGGUGGCGGGAAGCAGAGAGACUGGAGAAGCCAGGCCACGGCCCCAGGGACCCCUUCUGCUAACCACCUCCUAGCAGUAUGGUCAGCUAUGACCUCUUCAGCCAUGGAUUAAUCCAUCCGCAGGUACUGUCCAGUUUCAAAGCGUUCUCAUCGCCUCCGAAGCAAACUGCAUCAUUAAGCAGCCGCUCUCCACCCUCUCACCCUCCCUCCCUCCAGCCCGGGCAACCUAGGAGCUGCCUCUUCUGGAACUUCACAUCAGUGCGUUCAUAGAGCUUUGGCAGUCUCCGCCUUACUUGAUGGAGAGCUGUAUCAUCAUUACCAAUGGAAAUGACUGGCAUCUACCUCUUGGGUGAUACAGAAGUAUUCAGGGUGCUACACAUCUGUAAUCCCAGCACUUGGGAGGCUGAGGCAUGAAAUCUGAGAUCAAGCAAGCCCUUGUCUCAAAAAAGAAAAAGAAAAAAAGGAUGCCAGAUACUUAUGCAGUACUCUUUUCAUGUUUGACUUGAGCCCCUGAAGGAUGUAGAGCAAACUUCAAGUUUAUAGGCUAUAGAAGGGCAGAGGAAAAUAAAGAAGACAAGAGGAAAUACCCCUGGAAAUUCAGAGUGUGGGAUGGUCCAGAAGACAGCUGGCCUGCGCUCUUCACAAAGCGUGACAGACAGAGUUAUGUGUCAGCUCUACAAAGCCAUGACAAAGGCCACUUGCUUGCAGACGGGGUGGCAUUCUCCUCGGGAGACAACCCUGCGAGCCACAGGGGCUGGGAGACCUGGGUGGCUGACAAGACCCCUCUUCGUCUGCAGACAGAGCUUCCUGGUACCAUGCUAGGUACCAUGAAUGUGUCAACAUUCUCGCGGUCUGUCUGGGUAGAUGAACAGGUACCCUCUCCAACAUCAUGUGAAACAGCAAUUGCAUGAUACAGGAUUGAUGCAAGGCUUGACCCUGCUUCACAGAGGCAGAGGCUGGUCUUAAAUUCACCGUGUAGUCCUGGCUGACCUACAAUGUGUGGCGAUCCUGCUGCUUCAGCUUCCUGAGUGCUGGGAUUACAGGCGUGUGCCAGCACACUCAACUUCAAUUUUUGAAAAGGAAAAAAAAGCCCUGCUGCAAAAUUUUACUCCAGCUUGGGGUUUUCAUCUUGUCUUUUUAUUAUUCAUAUACAAAUGUGCCCAUAUCUAUGCCUGGUUUGGUUUGCAUAAAAAUUGGGAUUAUAUGCUGUUGUGUGUUUCUUUUUAAGAAGACUUAAUAAUAUACCAAUGAUAUCUCUUCAUGUAAAUAUAUAAAGAUUUGAUUUUUUAUUUUUAUUUAUUUAUUUUUUUUGAGAU